RNAcentral lists this ribosomal RNA (250 nucleotides) under uncultured archaeon. RNAcentral's name for it is "partial 16S ribosomal RNA". It matches the Rfam family "Bacterial small subunit ribosomal RNA", at positions 524 to 774 of the family's 1533-position model. The record is from RNAcentral.
UACGUAGGUGGCAAGCGUUGUCCGGAAUUAUUGGGCGUAAAGCGCGCGCAGGCGGGAUUGCAAGUCUAUCUUAAAAGUUCGGGGCUCAACCCCGUGAUGGGAUAGAAACUGUAAUUCUUGAGUACAGGAGAGGAAAGUGGAAUUCCCAGUGUAGCGGUGAAAUGCGUAGAUAUUGGGAGGAACACCAGUGGCGAAGGCGGCUUUCUGGACUGUGUCUGACGCUGAGGCGCGAAAGCCAGGGGAGUGAACG